This 84-nucleotide transfer RNA is filed under the name Methanobacteriota archaeon. RNAcentral describes it as "tRNA-Leu". It matches the Rfam family "tRNA". Rfam says of the family: Transfer RNA (tRNA) molecules are approximately 80 nucleotides in length. Their secondary structure includes four short double-helical elements and three loops (D, anti-codon, and T loops). Lineage: Archaea; Methanobacteriati; Methanobacteriota. The record is from RNAcentral.
GCGGGGGUGCCCGAGCGGCCAAAGGGGGCGGACUCAAGAUCCGCUGGCGUAGAGCCUUCCGGGGUUCGAAUCCCCGCCCCCGCA